This is a non-coding RNA of Castor canadensis (American beaver), 4814 nucleotides long. Lineage: Eukaryota; Metazoa; Chordata; Mammalia; Rodentia; Castoridae. The record is from RefSeq and is a predicted model, not a curated record.
UGAGUCAAUUGCUGAAGAAUCAUCUAGAAAGCCCAUUUAAAUGGAUAUUCUUAGGCCCAACUCUUGAGAUUGUGGUUACCGGAUAUGAGGUGUCUCUGAUACAGUUUAAACCACAUUCCUAAUUCCUGUUCCUUCCUUCAUUUAUUUAUUUAAUAAAGAUGAGUUCCUACUAUGUUCCAACUCAAAUCUCUCUACAGGUGAUCCAACUGCAUUCAUUCUGCAAAUAUUUUAAAAACUCUACUUUCAACAUUCAACUUGAUGAUUUACAUUCCCUAUCAAAAUUCCUUUGCAAUCAAAGAUUUGCUGACAUAUAUACCUUGUAUACAGCCCAAUAAAUCUUAGUUCCUUUUCAUAUUACAAAAUCUAGAUUCACAUUGUUAUUACAUAGUCCUCAAUUCAUAAAGGAGGGAAGCAAUGCAACAUUUGCUGAUAGGGCAAAGCCUAAGAAGCAGCUGCUCUUCCCUUUCAGCUGUACAUAUAUGCUUUUUCUUCCCUUUGUAAAAUGCUCUCCUGUGUAUCUAUUCAAACCCUUAAAAGGAUAGGUCAAAUUCAGUAUUCAAUACAACUUGCUUGACUUCCUAACCACAAUAAUAUGUCUUUCCUUACAGUGUAGAGAAUAGCUACUCUGUUGUUUGAAAAGUACAUGUCCUAACAUUUGAUUUUCAGUUAUCUACCACUCUUUAAUUUUUUAAUGGUUUUAGCUCUUGUGUAAGUAAGAUUCUGGAGAGGCAACUGUGUAAGACAUUUUCAUUAUAAGAGUGACUGGCCUACUGCUAAGUACACAGUAAACCUCAAUUUGAUAGUACUCCUUUUUCUACUUGUGCAAAUCAUCCUCAGGUUACUAACAAUGCUUUGUUCUUUUAUAACAUCAUAAACUACCCCAUCCCUCCAAAAAAACAAAAAUAUCUAAAUGAUUCAAAAUUGCCAAAGGUUCAUCCUCUAUAUAAGGAGAAUAGCACACUUACUUCAUUUGCUACAAUACCUUAGGCAAGUAGCUUAAACUAUAGAAGCCUAAAUUUUCUUAUCUAUAAAACAAAUAAUUCUCAGGUCAAUGUGAAAAGUUACUGAGAUAACAUAAACUAUUCAGCAUAGUUCCUGACACAUAAAUUUAAGCAAAUUGACAAGGAAAUAGUCUAAGAAGAAAUAGUGUAGUUAAGAGACAACAAGGUUUCUCUGGUUAAUCAAAUCAAAUUCAUAAGACUACUAUUAUUUUUAUAAGAUUAUUUUAAACAGUAGUAACUACAAUUAACUUACAAAAAUAAAGUAAUGCACAGUUCUGAAUGGUGGCCCAGUAGUCCCUGUAGUAUUAACAGAAAGAACUCAGGGCCUAAACACAGCUCCAACCACCUGCUUACUAAAGGACAUUAACAAAAUAAUUUAAAUCCUUAAAACCUACUUUCUCACUUGUAAAAUUAAGCAAAAAUAACUGUCACAGGUUAAAUAAGAUAAAGGCAAAUAAAAAGCCUGGCCACCAGUUUCUCCAGUACUGAACCUUUUCUUUCUGAGCUUAAAAUAAAAAUUCUGCACUGUGUUUAACAAUAAGGCUGGAAAGUUCAUUAGACACAAUAUAUACACAAUCCAAAGUCAAUAUUAAGUAUUUCAACACAAAAUUGGCAGGGAGGAAAGAAGACUGGCAGAAAAAGAAAGCUUUUAGCUAAGUCUAAGAAUCUGACUUCUUAACAGGAGCAUGUCCAUUAUACUUACAUCAAACAACAUGCAAAAGCCAUCAAGGAAUAACAAUUUUAAAGAAUGCUUUUGGUUAACAAUAUAUUAUGAAUGUUUCUGCCUUUGGAAAUAGCUAGAGAAAUAGACUGUUAAAACGCGUAAGAAACAGGAAUUUCCUAUGCAUGCCUUCCUCCAUCCACCUAGCUCCUCCCCACUGCUCUCAAACAAGAUCCUCUGUAUUACCUUCUGGAAUCUGGACACAGGAUGAAUUAAAUACCCUCCCCAUUCACUGACUCCAACAAAAUACUUAUGCUUAUAUUUUAAGACUGCUAAGAAGUUUAAGCCUCAAGAAAUUCCUUAAUUUAUUCUAGAUGCAAAUAUAUUCGAAACUUGUAAAAUAAGACUAUAUUAAUCUCUGCUGUGAUGAUCAAAAGACAUACAGGCAAAAAUAAAAUUCACAAUGCAAAGCUCUGUAACCAAGCUCAACAUAAUAAAAGGAUAUAAGGAGUUCUCUUGAAUGUUUGAGAAACCUGAGUGAAAACACACAAAACAAUGCCACUUGGGAUAUCCUUAUCUUUCCAAGUAUUACAAUCUUUUAAUGCUUUAAAAUGCGCUUUUCCCAUCAGUGUAAUUUAGUUUGUGUUUGUUUUUGUUUUGUGCUAGGGCUUGAACCCAGCACAAAUUGAACAGGCACUAUAACAUUAUACAGCCUCAUUCCCUGUAAUUUCAUUGUUUAAGCAACCAGUCCUAUCUAUUUGGUGUAUUUUUAUUCUACAAUGCUUUUCUAAUGCAGACCAAAAAGGUGUAUUGAUCACCUAUCAAUAUGAAGGAAGCAUUUCUUUCUAAAUUCUUUCCAAAACAAGUUUUUACUUUGAUGACCUGAGCCUAAGCUGAAUUUUGCUUGAGGAUUCUAAUUUUCUAAUAUUUUAAUUUUUUUUUUUUUGCAAUAGUGGGCUCAGGGUGCUUCCAAAGCUAGGCAGGUGCUCUUCCACUGAGCUACAUGCCCAGCCCCUAAUUCAAAGUUCUGGGAUAUGUUUCACAUUUUCUCUGACAGCUUCUCUACCUAAGACACCUGGUUUAUUUAGAAGACAGCCACUUUUUUGGCCACCUUUUGUCUAAAUGAUAUAAUGAAAUGGAAUGAGCAACCUGAUUCUGGUUAUAACUUUUCACUUGGACUAAGUGAGUAACUGCAGUUACCGAUCUCAGAUGAAUACAUUCUCUAAAGCACAAAAAAAUACUCAAAUUAUAGGGGCACAGUUAGCAAUUUGGGGACCAGUUAUUUUGGACAUAAAACUCCCUGUUAAGGCCAUUCUUAAACAUGCUUAUUUAUCCCCAGCCCAGUCUCAAGAUCCUCUCAUGUGUGCUAAUAAAGCUGAGGAUGUAACUUUUCAGUGGCUGCAUUCAAUAGGCAACUAGAAAGAAAAAACAAAAGCCUUCUAAGAACCAAAAUAAAUGAAACUCUAAAGUGGGAAAUUCAGAUUAUGACAGGUGGUAAAAAAAAUAGUUGGUAGAGAAGGGGACUCCUAAUCAGUUCCAUCCAUAACAUAAUGGUGUCCAGUCAGCAAUCGUUCUGUGUGAGCUAAGACCAAUGAAGUAAUACAAUGACGUAACAAUUGGGAUAUUAAAACACAAACAGACUGAACCCAUCUCACCAAUCCUCCUAGUUACUUAGCAUGUGUUUUAAAUUCAUGGUUGCCCUUUCAGAAAGGGAUCACUUAAGGACAGUUAAGCUCAAUCAGAUACCUAACACACUAAUUCAAAAUAAACAAAACUCUUAUUUCAAAAGGGAGGAAAAUGGAGACAGAAAAAGAAACAUCCUACUUAAGAUUUCACCAUGUUAUUUAUUAGGGGGAUAAUUAUCUACACUAUCUUUAUUCAUGAUUCAGCAAUUUCUAAAGCAUUAAGUAUUAAUUAUGAGGCAGUAUUUAUCACUUUAGCACACGUGAAAAGUCCUACUCACUCAGGACAAAUUUAAUUUUAAAACUGACCCUAAACAAAAAACUACUCACUAUACUAAGAGAAAGAAAAAUAAAAAACACUUGUUCUGGAAAGUGAGACUAGAUUACAAGAAACUAACUUUAAUAAGAUGUCCACAAGAAAAACCCAGAAAGUUCCAAGGCUACACUUGUGUUUUCUAAGAAAAAAUACUCACUUGGUUGUUUCUCUCUGCCUGAGAUUUUAGAAACUGCUACACUAGCAUAAAGGUAUGAGAAUGAAGACUUUAAGAGAAAUUUAGUAUGGUGAAUAAAAGGAAUAAAAAGCUGGCAAUUGGUACCACCCUCAAAAAACUAGAGCCUCCCCCAAAAAAAGUAUUAAUAUUUCAACAUAAACUUGCUAAUCAGCACUAAUACUAUACAGUCUACUCUCUAAGUGCAGAGCAUAUAGUAACUGUCUGAAAGCUAUUCUUUGUUUUAGUAAACUAUGCUACAUAUCUAUCAGAAACAACUACUUGCAAUUAAGCCCAUUUCUUUAUACUUCUACACCUUCCUGGAGCUUUCAAGACUGUCACAGAACCAACGAGUUACAACUUAAGUUUCUUUUCCAGGGUGCUUCUCUUCCCUCCCCAGUGGGACACAGGAACAAGUUUUUAAACUUAAAACACACUGAUACCUAGCACCGAGAAUUCACUCUCUUCGCAACCUGCUUAAAUUUUCAAAGUUCUAAAGAGAUGGGCUCACGUUGGAAACGAAAAACUACCUUAUAAGGCUAUGAAAGGCUGAAAGCAGGAAGCGGCUUUGACAAAACUAAGGAAGUUGCAGCGCGCUUGCUCACUGGGGGACUUUUUUGAGGCAAGAGAAGUAACACAUGACAUCUUUCUCUCUCGAAUUAAAAUGGGACUUGGGCUCCGCGGUCAAAGCGCCGUGGGAAAUGGCAAUGGCCCGCGAGUGGAGUGGAAAAGAGGGGAACCAUGGGAAGCAGAGCGAACAAAGAAUGAUGCCCACACUGAGCCCAAAAUAGUUCCAAGUGGAAUUGCCUGCACAAAGAAAAGAAAGAUAUUUUUAUUGAGCACCACCUACUACAUGCCAGAGGUUAUUCUAGCUUCUGAAGAUACAGCAGUGAAGAAAAUACAACAAUCUAAGUCUUCUUGGAGGUAACACAUUCUCAACAUUACUAUUCAUUUUCAAAUAGGUAUAUACUCCACAUAUCUC